Molecule: long non-coding RNA, 276 nt
Filed under: Gossypium barbadense (sea-island cotton)
Lineage: Eukaryota; Viridiplantae; Streptophyta; Magnoliopsida; Malvales; Malvaceae
Description: long non-coding RNA (GBAR_LNC011374)
Source: RNAcentral
GAGGAGAUUCAAUCUAUGAUGAGUCGAGUUUGGUGGGGAUGGAGAGACGAAUAGGGGUUGGAACAUAUUAGCAUAGGAUCAGAUGUGUUACCCUAAAAGCAUGGGGGCCUUGGGUUCAGGGCAUCCGACUGUUCAAUGUGGCUCUCUUGGGUCGUCAAGUUUGGCACCUUAUCAAUUGCAAAAACACUUUGUGCUACAGGGUGUUAAGUUCAAAAUAUUUUUUGGAUGGUGAUGUGUUUUAUCCUAAAAGUAUGGAUAAGCCAUCCUAUACGUGGC